GCAGCCCAGCGGUAGAGCAACUGCUUUCCAUACAGCAGGUCCCAGGUUCAAUCCCCAGCAUCUCCA
Molecule: non-coding RNA, 66 nt
Organism: Podarcis lilfordi (Lilford's wall lizard)
Lineage: Eukaryota; Metazoa; Chordata; Lepidosauria; Squamata; Lacertidae
Source: the annotation of a GenBank genome assembly